This 441-nucleotide ribosomal RNA is filed under the name uncultured bacterium. RNAcentral describes it as "partial 16S ribosomal RNA". It matches the Rfam family "Bacterial small subunit ribosomal RNA", at positions 338 to 795 of the family's 1533-position model. The record is from RNAcentral.
CCUACGGGCGGCUGCAGUGGGGAAUAUUGCACAAUGGGGGGAACCCUGAUGCAGCGACGCCGCGUGGGUGAAGGAGUAUUUCGGUAUGUAAAGCCCUAUCAGCAGGGAAGAACAAUGACGGUACCUGACUAAGAAGCACCGGCUAAAUACGUGCCAGCGGCCGCGGUAAUACGUAUGGUGCAAGCGUUAUCCGGAUUUACUGGGUGUAAAGGGAGCGCAGGCGGCGCGUUAAGCCUGGUGUGAAAGUCCGCGGCCCAACCGCGGGACUGCAUUGGGAACUGGCGCGCUGGAGUGCCGGAGGGGUAGGCGGAAUUCCUAGUGUAGCGGUGAAAUGCGUAGAUAUUAGGAGGAACACCAGUGGCGAAGGCGGCUUACUGGACUGUAACUGACGUUGAGGCUCGAAAGCGUGGGGAGCAAACAGGAUUAGAUACCCGGGUAGUC